RNAcentral lists this long non-coding RNA (365 nucleotides) under Coffea arabica (coffee). RNAcentral's name for it is "long non-coding RNA (CARA_LNC008039)". The record is from RNAcentral. Lineage: Eukaryota; Viridiplantae; Streptophyta; Magnoliopsida; Gentianales; Rubiaceae.
UUUGCGUUUAGCUGGAAGGCAAGUUUUCUUAUUGAUUGAAUGACUGUUGCCGUCAGGGUGUAACAUUGAUAGCUAUCAAUACAGGGAGAGAAUAAAAGAAGACUUAAUUUUUAAAAAUUGAGGAGAUACAAGACAAAGGCUAGUUAAAUUUGCCGAAAGAGUACCAGAAUAAAAAAGAAGUACAAUCCUGGGCUCUCAUGAAAGAGACAAGUAGAAAAUCCCAAUACAGAAGUUCAGUUCUCCAGCUGAAAACUUAGUCCCAGACGAUCUAGUUGAGACAAUUUCUACUCAACUGUCCUGCUUCCCAAUGUUUCAACCAGCAAUGUAGAUCCACGGCCUUCCUCUUACAGAAGUUAAACAUUCUG